ACCCCCAUCACGCGUUGUCUUUUCAUCUCUGUAAUUAUCUUCCCCGUCGCGCUGCUUCUUUUCCACAGCCGUAGCGACGAGGGAAGGCAACUAGAUCAAGGUUCACAUACAAGCCUAUAAGCAGGAGUGAGGCAGCUGCUGCACGUGUCUAGUCCCUCGUCGAGCAGUGAUCGAACUUUUUUUUACAGCUUCCACAGACUUACCCGCAAUCCUCUCUCUCGGGCUCACUUGAAAUCACAAAGCACAGCAGCCAUACACACCUCAUUUGGCGGCUGACUCGUGUCAGAGGCGUCCCAUAUCAUUUUUUUUUUGGGGGGGGGCGGGGAAGGGGGAGGGGUUCGCCCACAGAGAAAAAAAACAGAGCAAGGCAACAAAUUCAAAAAGUCAUUUCGUGGUUGGCGGGCGUAUCAGCGGCCAGACGGCGGAAGAACGCACGUCUCAGGGAAAGAGCACAUCGCCUACACACCGCAGCCCCUCUUAUCCGGUCGCGAAUGACAGAGAGGAAGGAGGACAGGAGAUAAAAACUUGUGAGUGCCAUAGAGACUUGCCUCCUCUCUUUUUUCUUUUUGGUGUGUGAGCGCUUCGUCAUUGUUCUUUCUUCUGUGGUUUGUUGUCUCUCAUUUCGAUGCUGCUUUCGCCGAGCGUCCACAUACGCCGCCCUCCUUUGCUUGUUUAUCUCUCUCUCGCUUCUGCUCAUACACCAUCGAUUGCCUUUCCACCUUCACGUCACACAAGCGUGCUGUGUAUUCGCACUGCACCCCGGCGCGAAGCCGUAAGUGAAGAGCUUAGCUCGUUGCGUGUUUCCUCACCCCCCUCCCCACCACCACCUCCUUCUACGUUAAGAGUGCUUAGGCAAGAGGGCGGAGAGGUCCGAGCAGACGUGCGUGCCUCGUUCUUUUUGCCAUCGAUACGUCGUGCCCGUUUCAUCUCUGCUCUGCUCCGUCUCGCGCCUUCUCGGCUCUCUUCUUGUCGAGCCAUCGUCGUCGGCCGACAUACGCAUACGCCUGCGGAGCGAGCGAAGGAGAGCGCGCGGCGGCGAUUCACGUAUAUAUAUAUAUAUAUAGACAUACAUCGGAAACCAAAACUUGCUCAGGUGUGUCUUUUUAUUGCUGUUGCUCUUCGUGUUUGGGCUCGGCUGCUUCGCUUUCCACGUUUGCGCUCAUAGAAGGCCCGCGGCUCUUUUCCCUCGGUCUCGAUUUUUCCUGUGUUCUCUGCUGUUUCCAGGGUGUCUCGGUUUUCGGUCGCUUUUAUUUUUCGUUUGGUUUCGUUGUCUUUACUGGUGCUCGUGUCUCUCUCUCUCUGUGUCUGUGUUUAGUUCUUGCAGUGCUGCCUCGUGUGUGCCCCACUCAUGUCCUCCAACCCGUACAUCGCACAGCACUAUGGGAGCUGUAUGGAGGUGGUGUCGAACGGGCAUGAGGACGAGGUAGACGCUGCGGUGGGAUUUCGGCGCUUCCCGAAUGCGCCGCACAUGACACACACCGUCUUCCGUCCCUCGAAGAACUUGACCGCCACCUCUGCCACGGCUGCGUCUUCAUCGGCCUUGGGCGUCCACAAUACCUACAAAACAUCGACGCCGGAUGCCCUUGCAAACUUGCGCGUGCACAAGUGUCUCCUGGUCGAUGAAUUUCCCUCACGUCCGCAUACGCCACAAGGCGCCAAGUCCGCCGCGUCACUACCACCGUUACUGCCGGCGGAUCGUCUCUCGGUCGGGUCCAGCGACGGCCUUCCUGAAAGAGGAACGGAGGUGUUUCGAGAGUGGGUGAAGGCGCCCACGAACUCCUCCACAUCCUCGUCUAACGGCGCUGACGGCGGCGAAACAGACGCGGCUGCAACCAACGGCAAUGCGCACGGCUCCCUCGAACUCGUCAGCGCGUCAGAGCUGGCGGCGUCGCGAGGCACAGAGGGCGGGCAGAGCUGCGCCUCUGCGUUGGUGCCACCUGGGACUAACGUCCCGGCAAAGACAGCGCUUGCGUCGUCUGAUCACUGCCCGUCGGUAUCCGUCUCGCCGGAAUCGCUACGUCUCGUACGGCCAAAAAGCUCAACGGCCUCUUUCACCCCUUUGCAGGCACCGGAAGCGUCCAGUGAGCCCACGGUCGACGGAGCUCUGCACCACUUACGCGACGUACUGGUGCAAGCGCAGCGCGUGCUGGAUAAAUCACGGAUAACCGGGGAUGCCCGUGCGCUUCCCGCGCCGCCGGCGAUGCCACCCAAGCCUGCGGAGUCAGCACAGCACCAGCAGCAGACGGCAGUCCUUCCGGCCACAACGUCCACUGGUUCGUCCUCUGGCGAGGAUCUGAUGCGGGAGGACUCACUAGAUUGCGUAUCGCCCCUCGCCAGCACGAGCGCGGCACUCUAUGCUAUAUCGCAAGCAGAGCGGGGAGUGGGUGUGCCUGGCGCGGCUUCGCCACCGUUCGCCGCCGGUAAGGUGGCCGAUAACGUCGCGGUGCCCGACGAAACCCGCUUCAUGGUGUUGUGCUCCGUCACUCACCCGUCAGCAAUCAUGCAGCGGCGUCUCCGUCGCCGUGGCCCAGCAAGCAGAGCGUCUAUGGAAGGACUGGCCUCGCCUCCGGCUCAUUCGCUGUUUGGCACGUGCGCAGAGACAGGGGCUAUACGCACGUCUUCAUGCCGCAUCGCCGAGGUGCCGAGCACAUCCGCCGCCGUAAGUGCAUCCACUGUUGCGCAGCCGGCAACAGCGGCCGGCCAACUUCAGCGCUCGUUGUCGCCGAACGAAGGUGGCAGUGAGCAUCCCAGCUUGCGCGCACCCACGCAGCGAAGUCCAGCUGAGGACUCCGUGAGCCGUCACUUACACGAGGAUCCGUCGCUCAUUCCGGGACUCGCCGAGUUUCUGCGGGCUGGAAACCCCAAUGGCUUUUCAGCCCUCAGCGCAGCUACCCACGCGGCGCCGCCUGCACUGGCGAAGGCGUCGCCGUCAGCACGCCGCCCUCGCCGCCGCUCUGGGCUCCCCGCCGCCGCCGCUCACGUUCCUGCUGUUUUGCUCGGUCAUUCACCAUCGUUGUUGCAACGCCGUGGCUCUAGUGGCACCGCACGGUCUCAGGCGGACCGUGCGGUGACCCCGUCGUUGCAUCUGCCAUACGCGCACACAGAGGGGAGCACGACAGUAGCGGACGUCUCGCCACGCCGCGGAUCUACCCGUGCCCGCCGUAUAGACUCGACGCCUAGUUACGCGCAGCCGACAGUGAGCUGGCUUUCCAAGGGGUCUGAGGCUUCCGCUGACCAGUUCCCAGUGAGCCGCAUAGCCUCGCCGCAGACGAGCCCCGUGAAGGAUCCGGGGACAGCAUCGCGUGACGCCGCACCAAGUGAACCGGCGCUACUGUAGAGAGUACUUCUUAGGUUUCUUUAUCUCCCUCGUGGUCACCGUGUAGUCUGCACACCUGUCUCUUUCCCAUGCGUCAUCACCAACGGGUGGCCGCGAUCACUGCAUUCCCGCAUUCGCACCGACGACAACAAUGACGCUCUUACAAUUCCUACUUGCGCUUCGGACCCUGAUGGCGGCGGCACAAAUCUCACGGUGCUUGGUAUCACAGGGCCCCGUACACCCCCACUCUGUGUGUGUGUGUAGGAGGAGGCCACGCGGCACCUCACCUCUGUCCCCUGCCAAUGUCAGAACCCUACUUCUUCUGGUGCGGACAGGGUCAAGCACCGACGACGUAGCGGCGGUCGGGGCGGUGUACCACUGCUGGCGUCGGCGACGCGGCCGUGGAUAGCGUUGUGCUGGGGCGGCCUGCAACCGUGCACACGUCUGCGCCAUCCAUAUGAUUGGGCAGCGUGCCAGAGCGACUCGGGCGCAUGUCUCACCCGGCCCUCGCGCACUGCCUGCUGGUGCGGGUGGGGGGGGCUGAGCCAUGCCCCGAGGAGGGAUGCACGAGGGCUGGCGGCCGGCAUGAUGGGGGAGCGGCUGUGAGGCGAGACCUGCGAGGCAAAGAGAGGGGGAGAGAGAGGUUGGUAGGGCACGAGGCAGGGGGGCCGUGCUCUCAGAUGGCUGAGUGGGCGCACUGCUGCAGCGCGUGUGUCCACGACUGCUUCGCACCACGCUGGUGGGACCUGUGCGCCUGCGGGGCUCGAGUGGCGUUUGAUCUCCUGUGCUGUAGCGGAGAAGGGGCACGUGGAAAAGAAAAAGUUUUCCAUUGGAAGGGUGGGAGCUUUUUUUCUUGGGAAGAUGGCCAUGACCACGAUGCGGCAGUUUUUGUUUCUGCUUUGCGACAGAGUUUAACUUCUUCGUCUCGCCCAUCUCUCCGUCUCGGGCGAUGAGUGGGUGAGAGGGAGAGCUGAUGUGUGCCUGUCUCAAAAGACGCACGGGGCUGCAGAGAGUGCCGCAUUUUGUUCUUUCUUCUUCCUGGCGACGACGCGUAGCCGGCCUGCUCGUAUGUCGUGUUGCUCCUGGUGUUGUGUAUGCGUGCGCCAUUGUGCACCGAGGAGACUUUUGAGAUGGUGCAUCCGCAGGAGAGGGAAAUCCGCGUGUGUGCGUGGCAUCGCACGGGAUGAGAGCCGCUGUGCAAGAGUCUCGUUUGCAAAUUAGCCCCGUCGCCGCGUACUCGGCACCGUUUAUGCUACCGAGGAUCGACGAGAGAAAGGGUCGAGGAAGCGGAAAGGAUACUCUACGGAAGCGUGGAAGUGCAGAUUUCAAAGCAAACCGAAGACUCUAUAUGACUUUGAGGAUUCUGUGAGGCGCAAUAGCCGUUGUCUUUUCGCCCUUGUGUCUGCUUCAUAUACAGCGAGCAUGACCUGUGGAUCGUCCGCGCCUAGCGCCGCUAUCCCUCUUUUUGAGAAGACUGUAUGCGGGCGCACACACGCGCGCAUUGCGGUCUGGUCGCCUCGCGUGAGACGAGGGGAGGGAGCAGUGGCCGCGUUUGUUUUUUUCGACCCCUCUCUUUUCUAUUCGAAAUCCUGUGGGGGGGGGGGCUACUGAUGCACCUCGCCCUGCAUGCGGUGCACCUUCUCUCUCUCCCCCUUACUUUCCUUCCAG
RNAcentral lists this unclassified non-coding RNA (4984 nucleotides) under Leishmania donovani. RNAcentral's name for it is "gene:LdHU3.35.6690(CDS-product:hypothetical_prote in_conserved)". The record is from RNAcentral. Lineage: Eukaryota; Euglenozoa; Kinetoplastea; Trypanosomatida; Trypanosomatidae.